UGCCAGCAGCCGCGGUAAUACGUAGGGUGCAAGCGUUAAUCGGAAUUACUGGGCGUAAAGCGUGCGCAGGCGGUUUUGUAAGACAGAUGUGAAAUCCCCGGGCUCAACCUGGGACCUGCAUUUGUGACUGCAAAGCUAGAGUACGGCAGAGGGGGAUGGAAUUCCGCGUGUAGCAGUGAAAUGCGUAGAUAUGCGGAGGAACACCGAUGGCGAAGGCAAUCCCCUGGGCCUGUACUGACGCUCAUGCACGAAAGCGUGGGGAGCAAACAGGAUUAGAUACCCUGGUAGUCCACGCCCUAAACGAUGUCAACUGGUUGUUGGGUCUUCACUGACUCAGUAACGAAGCUAACGCGUGAAGUUGACCGCCUGGGGAGUACGGCCGCAAGGUUGAAACUCAAAGAAAUUGACGG
This 410-nucleotide ribosomal RNA is filed under the name uncultured Comamonadaceae bacterium. RNAcentral describes it as "bacterial SSU rRNA". It matches the Rfam family "Bacterial small subunit ribosomal RNA", at positions 506 to 916 of the family's 1533-position model. Lineage: Bacteria; Pseudomonadati; Pseudomonadota; Betaproteobacteria; Burkholderiales; Comamonadaceae. The record is from RNAcentral.